ACGGCUCAGUAACACGUAGUUAAUCUGCCCUUAGGUCAAGGAUACCCUCGGGAAACUGAGGCUAAUACUUGAUAAGAGUAAGAUGCUGGAACGCACUUACUCCAAAACUCGGGCCUAAGGAUGAGACUGCGGCUGAUUAGCUAGUUGGUGGGGUAACUGCCUACCAAGGCGAUGAUCAGUACGGGCUCUUAGCGGAGUUGCCCGUAGAAGGAAUCUGAGGCACUAUUCCUAGCUCUACGGAGUGCAGCAGCAGCGAAUCAUUUACAAUGCACGAAAGUGUGAUAAUGCGAACCAAAGUGCUUUUCUUUUUGAAAAGCUUUUCUCCACUGUAAAAAGGUGGGGGAAUAAGGACUGGGAAAGACUGGUGCCAGCCGCCGCGGUAAUACCAGCAGUUCAAGUCGUGUCCAAUUUUAUUGGGUCUAAAACAUCCGUAGCUUGCAAUUUAAGUCUCUUGUGAAAUCCUAUGUCUCAAGCAUGGGGCUUGCGGGAGAUACUGAAUAGCUAGAGAUCGGUAGAUGUAAGGAGUACACCGGAGGUAGUGGUAAAAUACGUUAAUCUUCGGCGGACUAACAAUGAGCGAAGGCACCUUACAAGGACGAAUCUGACAGUCAGGGAUGAAGGCCAGGGGCGCAAAACGGAUUAGAUACCCGUGUAGUCCUGGCAGUAAACACUGCUCACUAAACAUCGGGCCCUCUUCGGGAGAAUUCGGUGCUGAAGCGAAGGCGAAGAGUGAGCUACCUGGGAAGUAUAGUCGCAAGAUCGAAACUUAAAGGAAUUGGCGGGGGAGCAC
Molecule: ribosomal RNA, 790 nt
Filed under: uncultured archaeon
Lineage: Archaea
Description: bacterial SSU rRNA
Rfam family: Archaeal small subunit ribosomal RNA
Source: RNAcentral